GAUCCUGGCUCAGAUUGAACGCUGGCGGCAGGCCUAACACAUGCAAGUCGAGCGGGGUUUUUCGGGACCUAGCGGCGGACGGGUGAGUAAUGCGUAGGAAGCUACCCGAUAGAGGGGGAUACCAGUUGGAAACGACUGUUAAUACCGCAUAAUGUCUACGGACCAAAGUGUGGGACCUUCGGGCCACAUGCUAUCGGAUGCGCCUACGUGGGAUUAGCUAGUUGGUGGGGUAAUGGCUCACCAAGGCGACGAU
This 253-nucleotide ribosomal RNA is filed under the name uncultured bacterium. RNAcentral's name for it is "partial 16S ribosomal RNA". It matches the Rfam family "Bacterial small subunit ribosomal RNA", at positions 15 to 280 of the family's 1533-position model. The record is from RNAcentral.